GACGAACGCUGGCGGCGUGCUUAACACAUGCAAGUCGAACGGAAAGGCCUGCUUUCCCUUGUGGAUUGCGGGUACUCGAGUGGCGAACGGGUGAGUAACACGUGAGUGAUCUGCCCCCAACUUGGGUAUAAGCCUGGGAAACUGGGUCUAAUUCCCGAUAGGACUGCAGGGUGGUGCCUGUGGUGGAAAACGAUUUUCUAGUGGUUGGGGAUGAGCUCGCGGCCUAUCAGCUUGUUGGUGGGGUAAUGGCCUACCAAGGCGGCGACGGGUAGCCGGCCUGAGAGGGUGGACGGCCACAGUGGGACUGAGAUACGGCGCAGACUCCUACGGGAGGCAGCAGUGGGGAAUAUUGCACAAUGGGCGGAAGCCUGAUGCAGCGACGCCGAGUGGGGGAUGACGGCCUUCGGGUUGUAAACUCCUUUCGACCGCGAGGAAGCCACCUGGUUGGAAGGGUGGUGACGGUAGUGGUAGAAGAAGCACCGGCUAACUACGUG
RNAcentral lists this ribosomal RNA (494 nucleotides) under uncultured bacterium. Its description in RNAcentral is "partial 16S ribosomal RNA". It matches the Rfam family "Bacterial small subunit ribosomal RNA", at positions 28 to 507 of the family's 1533-position model. The record is from RNAcentral.